CCCCUUUGCGAACCGGGACGCAGGCCCUAUAUUCGCUUUGCCGUCGCAAGGCGGAUAUGGCGAUAAAUGGACUCCGUAAUAAGCUAUCCGGACCCGGGGGCGGUACCCGGCGCCUCCACCAGAGCCCGUUCGACGAGCGGGUUGUGGCGGGGGCGAAAUAGGAUCGACGGGGGUGUAAAGGGUGCUCUUUCGCUCGGCAUGAUACCGCCGUUAUCGGGUCAAACCUUAUAGUUGCCAAUGACAACUAUGCUCCGGUGGCCGUCGCUGCUUAAUGCAGUGCCAGUACUGGGAAUCAAGUCCUAAGGGGUUGCACUCUUAGGCGGGGCUCGGAGGCGCCUGGCAACAGAAGCCUCCACU
Molecule: transfer-messenger RNA, 357 nt
Filed under: Beijerinckiaceae bacterium
Lineage: Bacteria; Pseudomonadati; Pseudomonadota; Alphaproteobacteria; Hyphomicrobiales; Beijerinckiaceae
Rfam family: Alphaproteobacteria transfer-messenger RNA
About the family: Bacterial tmRNA, also known as 10Sa RNA or SsrA, is named for its dual tRNA and mRNA-like properties.
Source: RNAcentral